This 1129-nucleotide long non-coding RNA is filed under the name Homo sapiens (human). RNAcentral describes it as "HSALNT0122697". Lineage: Eukaryota; Metazoa; Chordata; Mammalia; Primates; Hominidae. The record is from RNAcentral.
AAUGGGUUCCAUGGAUCCUAGGUCAAUUCAACAGUCAGCAACCACACAGGAGAGAGGGCCUCCAGACUGAAACCUACCAACUGUGGGAAUGUGAGGCUGAAGUCAAGUAAAAUCAGAACGUGAAGAGGUGGGUCGCAAUAGCCAGGGGGUGAGCUGUGCAGUGGAGUGGACCUGCAGGAGCCCAAGCCUCGAGGGGAGGAUGAAGGCUUUCGGGAUGAGGCAUUGUCUACGCUGCAUCUUCAAUGUAUCAGAAGGUGUUAACAAGGCGAAGAGGGUUGUAGGCAAAGGGAAGAAUGCCUGCAAAAACCCAGAUUCCUGAAAUGCCACUCAAUGAUCAGUUUGACCUCACCAGCUCAUGUGUGGAGAGGCGAGUGAUGCAUCUGGGAUGCCAAGAGUCACAUCGCAUCUAAGCCCCAUUGGGGAACUUAUGCAUUCUUGGCUUACACCUGGCAGGGCUGAUAAGACUCAAAGCGGAUAAUUGUGUGUUGCUAUGGACUGAAUGUUUCCGUCCUCCACCCCCUAAAAUAUGCUGAUGCCCUAACCCCAUUGUGACGCACCUAGCAAGAAGGUGGCCAUCUACAACGAGAGCCCUCAUCAAACACUGGGUCUACCAGCAGCUUGAUCUUGGAUUUCCCAGCCUCCAAAACUAUGUCCAUCUUCCCCUUCUCUUUGGCUAAGUGCACCUGAGGCUAUGGAAUACUCACCAAAGACCCUUGGGCAACCAACUGAAGGGCAUUCACUACAAAUUCUGAAGCCCUCCUGACACUGAUCUUCCUGAGAAUGAGUCUAAAGUCAAAGCCCUUGGCCCACAUCCAUUGCCCCCAUCCUCUCACAAUGACAUUCUCCCACCUUAAAAAUUGAGAAUUGCAUACCCCAAGGUGUCAAAUCCUCCAGAACACCAAGUAAGGGGCAAUCCAGAAUUCUGGUGGCAGAAAUCCUGCUUUGAUCAAGACACCAAAAGUCUUUGAAUCCACCCAAAACAAGGGCUUUGAGAUAAAAGUUAACCUUUGUAUCUAAUAACUAUUGAUCAACAUUUAAAAUGUCCAUUAAUUUGACCAGUUGUGUACUAAUACUAACUGUAUGUAUAACUCAAUUCAAAAGAAAAAUUUUUUAAACAUUUAUGGUCACC